AACGAACGCUGGCGGCAGGCUUAACACAUGCAAGUCGAACGAGAAAUAAGAGCUUGCUCUUAUGGACAGUGGCAGACGGGUGAGUAACGCGUGGCAACCUACCUUUUUCUACGGAACAACAGUUAGAAAUGACUGCUAAUACCGUAUACGCCCUCCGGGGGAAAGAUUUAUCGGUGAAAGAUGGGGCCGCGUUAGAUUAGCUAGUUGGUGAGGUAAAGGCUCACCAAGGCGACGAUCUAUAGCUGGUCUGAGAGGAUGAUCAGCCACACUGGGACUGAGACACGGCCCAG
RNAcentral lists this ribosomal RNA (290 nucleotides) under uncultured bacterium. Its description in RNAcentral is "partial 16S ribosomal RNA". It matches the Rfam family "Bacterial small subunit ribosomal RNA", at positions 29 to 334 of the family's 1533-position model. The record is from RNAcentral.